ACUAUACUAUUUGGGAACAAACAUCUUUUUUCUCAGAAUUUUGAAGUUUGUUGAGAAUUACCAUGGAGCUGACACGUCUACAUUAGAUUUCCUCUAAGUUUCUACGUGUGCACUUGGGGUGCUCUGAGAGAAUUUUCAUAGACGUUUCAAGUCCGUGCGACGGUGCAAGUUCAUAUUCAUUUGGUCUUUUCCUACGUACAUGUAGCAGCAUAGGAGGGCCCGAAAUCUUGGAUUUUGCGCGUGGCCGUGCAGUCAAAGCGGUGGUCAUGGUUCCACCAUCACUCCAUCUGGUUCAUUCUAUUUGCCCUCAUCUCUCCCAUUUGAUCUCUUCCAACGCCGCGCCGACGCCAUCUUCCAUCAAGCGUCUGGCGGCGGCUUGGUCCGCGGGCGGUUGUGUCGGUCCCUGUGGAUUUUCAUGGAGACGAAGGGAAGGUGGAGGGGAAAAGCGAGCAGAGCGGCCGCCGCGCAAGGGAGCUGUCCCUACUCGCCGGGAUUUCUUUUUCUGGCCAUGUUCGAAUUGCUGGUUCUACUAGAUCUGUGGGAUUUCCUCUCAGCAUUGAUUUGUUGUUGUGAUUUGGAUUUAAUUCUUUCGGUUAACUGAGUUUUUGUGGUUCGAUUUUUGGCCUGCAGGCCUUGCCCAUGCCAUGACGCCCACGCCCAUCAGCCCUACCUCUCGCCCUUCACAGCCGGUGGAGACGAGAUGCUAUCGAUGAAGUCUGCGGGCUUGGCGCAGCUGCGCCAUGAGGCCUCGCUCUGCUCGCCCUAAGUGCUGGCUCGCCCCUGCAUCGGCGAGUACCAUCUUUAGCCUCUUCGGCUCUUCCUCGAGUUCUUGCCGGGCGGCUCGCUCGCUGACGAGAUGGAGAGGAACGGGCCAGCCUCAAGGGCAAGGCGCCGUCCGGGCGUUCUCGAGGCGAGACGAGAUCUGUUGCUAGACUUGGUCGUCUGGAUGCCCGGGAACGAGUUCGUCAAGUGCCUUGUGCUGGUCGCUGGAGGAGACCUUCCUGCUUCAGCUCUUCUGCGGCGCGCUAGACGACGCCAACGGGUUCAGCGACGAGCAGGGGUAUUCGCGCCACGACCCUGUCUUCGACAAUCCCAACGCCAUGGCCAUCCUUGCUGUGCGGUUCUUCCACCCGGUCAUGCCCAUCAACACACUGAUGGAUCGCUGGAAUUUGUCUAGGCAAGUACUUCAGGGCCGCUCGCGCGGCGUCCGCUGAUUCAGGGCUUCAUGUACUGAUGGCCUCCCCGGUGUUGUUGUCUUCUUGGUCUCGAUGAUGCCCCUCCACCCGUUCUUCUUGCCCCUGUUCCUGAGCUGGUUAGUGCAGUUGAGCCUGCGAGGGAGAAGGUAGGGAUUGAUAUGGCUGCUAGCAAGUAAUUAAUUUCCUAAUCAUGUUCAUUUGUUCACAUGUGAUAGGAUAAUUAGUUUGACUAGAUAGAACCCCGCACCUUUGCUGAGGCAUUGUUCGAAUUCAUUGUACAUAAUGGUUUGAUGUAAAGUCAAAACCUUAAUAUGACCCUGAUAAAGCAUGAGCUAAAGAAAUAACCUGUCUUGUGGAGUAAGUGUUGCUGCAGUGGCAUAAGUGCAUAUAAAAACACUACGCAUGACUAAGAGAAAGAAAAGGAAAUUGUUGGAUUAUAUUCAAACCUGCAAAUACAAAUGUUACUCUAGCUUGCAAUUUCUACUAAAAGAGAAGCAUAAAUACUUGGCAAAAGGAGGAAAAAAAGUUGUCUGAACUGUAAGGUGUUCUGUUUUGUUGUACAAACCAUUAAGUGAAACAAUGAAUUGGUAAUUACCCAUUAUUAUUUCAUGCCACUGCAUAUGAAGUAUACAUGUUAGUAACAUUUUUUGCUGCUUACUAAAAUAUUCUUUCUGCCAACACCUCUAAUUUGUUUGAGCUUCAGCACCGAGUUAUUUCAAAUUCUAAUGACUUGCAGGAAGAAGUCAUUAGUCAUAGUCAUUAGUACUUUACAUCUCAAUCGGCUCUACACUAAAUAACUUUAAGUCAUCAUAAACACCUUUAAGAAAUCACAUGCUUCCACCGAGUUAACUGCACACAUUAAAUAACUUACUAUGGAGAUGAAUAAAUAUGACCAAUUUACUACGAAAUAGCAUUCUGUAAUUAUAUAGAUAGCAGGCUGGGAACUUAUUUCUGUAGCUAAAAAUCACCAUGGUUUUAUUACCUGCAUGUUUUUAUUUUGCAUGGUAUCUACAGAUUAUGGUUCAUGUUUGCCAGCCACAUAUAUACUCCAACCCUCAUCUGGCAACAAUUAUUGGUCUCUUCAUCUUAUCUGAAAAGGUAGAAUCAAAACAAAUUAGUUCUUCUAGCCCACAUCACAAACACAAAGCAGAACCUGCUCUUUCCAUCUGAAGUGAGGCGAAAAUGCUCUUUCCAAAGAACCUGCCAUUUGGAGUUCCGGGCCAUCUUAUGAAGGCCCCUGUCUACACCUGCAUGCACUACAAUCUGAAGCGAGGCGAUCCUGCUCUUUCCAAGGACUGUUGCUUCUCUCUCAGGAAAAAAACAAAGGGUAAUUAGAGGCAUCAGUCGACAGUCUCUGUAGAUGCUGAAAUUAAGCAUCCGGGUGUGAUCUAAUAGGUUCUAAAAAAGUUCAAUCACCUUUCCACAAGAUCCCAUGAGAAUCCCCACACAUCACUACUUAGAUCACAAUACCACUUGGCUUGAGCUUCUUCUCCAAAUAGAAUUUGCAGGUCAAGUUUCCUAUGCCGCAAAUCCCAAUCUUCAGAUAAAUUUUCCCCUGCAGUACAAAAGUCAAGUUUCCUAUGCCUCAAAUCCCAAUCUUCAGAUAAAUUUUCCCCUGCAGUAGAAAAAAUAAAAUGGAACUUCAGAGACAGAGAGAGAGAGGACCCGACCUAUAUGCAUAGUGGAUGCAGUGGAGAUAUGAGCCAAGUAGAAAGGUGAGGAGGUGAAAAAAGGGCAUUCUCGCUCUUGAGGUUAACAUGAACCACAUACAUGGAUCGUAGAAAAAGCAAGUAAAUUGCUCUGGUUUUCAUAUGGGGAAAAAUGGAAAAUUAACUAGAGUAGUAGAAACUUUUGGUGGAGGUUUAUGAUUUGUUAAUGUUGCUAAUGUUUAAAAGUAGCUUUAUCUAAUUUCCCCUUCAAAGAUGUAGAAAUGAAUAAGAGCUGAUCCUUUUUAGAGUCAUUCCAGUUUCCGAUUGCUGAAUCUGGAAGCUCUUCAAAAGAGUAGAGGUUUCCAGGUAUAAAAUAAUCCACCACCAUGGCCAAUGGUGGUCCUCUCUAGCUCUUUGCAAAUUGCAUCUUGUACUUUUUUUUGCAAAGGUCCAGUUUGCCUCUUCUAUUUCCAUGUCUUGACAAGUUUGAAGCUUGCCCAAUAAGAACAGCAACAUAAUAAGUGUUUAUAAGGUAUUCUCCAGUGGUUGUGCUCUUGCAGAUGUUUGUUUUUCAAUCAAAUUCUUGGAAAUUCCCUUGGACUGUUACUUUCUAUAUACCUACAAGGAAGUACGUAUUUGAGUAGCAUUUUCAGAAAAUAGGAUAUUGUGAGUAAAUACUACAUGUCAUCUACUUUUUUCACAUUUUAGUAGCAUAUGUCCCUUUGCAAAAUGUGUGUGGGCAGGAAAAGUAAGGUAAACAAUGGUACAUCAAAGACCAAAUUGUAAUUAUAAAGAGCGCUGUGUUGAAAGGAGGAGGAAAAUUUCUAUGUAUUUUAGUUGACAGAAUAGCAUAGAUGAGGUAAUGAUUAAUAAAAAUUUAUUAAUUGAAUCAUCUCCCUGUCUUUGCUUCGAAUGGUUGUGCUCAAAUUCAAUGUGCUAGGAACAUAUAUGGCUGGGUGUUUUGAGAACGUAUAUGACUUCUGAGGUAACAUAAAUUUUUAUGUCAUAAUGCAGUUUCUAGCACGGAAACAUCCCACUUUGGUAUUAUAAGUGUGCAUAAGGUUCCAAUGCUGUGCAUAGAUAAACACAAAUUUUGAAGUAUGUGAUAUAGAUUUUUCUCUUUCAACCACAACAAGGUACAGAUGAGGCAACUAAAUGGGUUAAAUGGAUGUGGUUCUGGACAAUACAUAUCCUCAUCUCUCUCUCCUCUUCUUUUACUUGCAUUUAUGUUAGCUUUCGUCUGAUUUUUCAUCAAGUACUUAUCCUCGAGUUUAUUCAGUAUCUCUAAGCUAUUGGAGAUGGUAAUUUUGUUGAUUGAGAGAUGUCUCCUCGACCUUGGUGAUAUCAUUAUCUUCAAAUCAAUUUUCUACACAUGUAGCUGUUGGAACUCAUUUGGCAAUAUAUUAAGGAUGAAAUGAGACCAAGGAGAUUCAUUUUUGUGUUGGGUAUCACUGCGCUUCUUGUUUUCUAUAUGUAAAUCAAAAAGAUAUUUUCUGCCCUUGACUGGUAAAGCUCUUGACCGGUAGUUAAGUGGUUCAUGCUCUUGGUCGGUACAGUUGAGUGGUUCAUAUGAAAUGUAUAACCGAAUGAUAUUUAGUCAGUGACUUUUGUAUAAAAAUAAUAAUAAUAAACAUAAAGCACUGAAUCCUAGGUUCUCUGUUUUCUAGCAUGUCAACUCUUUCAUCUCAACAAUUAAUGUGAACUUAACUUACGGGAAAGUUGCAGACUGCGGGACCAUUGGAUUGUUUGUCAUUUCUCCUUUUCUUUUUCUCACAUGGUUCUCCAUUAAUCUCACAGAACUUGAUUCAAAGGUUUUGGUUGAUAUUGGUUCCACAACUUGAUUCAAAGGCCGUAAAACAUCUCGGAAAGCUGCGGAUGAUGUUGAUUCUGAAAUUGCUAAGCUCACAAAACAAUCCAUGGACAUCGGCACAUACAGUACAUGCUACAUAUAAUUUUACCUUCUUGUGCAUAGGGAAACACAAUGGAAGACUAUAUAGGAUCAGUCUAUACAUUUGAAAUAUGGUAGCGGAGGGCCCAAUGAUUUCUGCGCUUGAUUGUUCUUGUGUUUGUGUGGGAGCUUCUAGCUGGAUCGCUACAUUAUUACAAAAAGUUACUUAACAUGGUGGCAUUCGCAAGUACUCUUCGAUAGUAUUCUUGCACCCGAAGUCGGAUACCUACUAUCCGUACAUGUUCAUGUACAAAACUAUUAUCUAUUUUGCUUAAACAGUGGAUUGGCAGUGGAGAAUUAGAACUGUUAAGAGAGGAUCCCUGAUUACAACUCAGUUGGAUGCGAAUCUCUCAAAUUGUUCAUCUUGAGUUAAGUGAUCUGCCCGCAACUUAAACUUAGUGCCCCUAAUUGAGUAUGUACCAAGUCAUUUUGAUUUGGUCAAGACGGGCGAUAGUGAUUCAGAUUUGGGCAAUGCAUUACUACAGGUUAAGAUGCUACGGCUACGUCUCCACACUCAAAUCUUGACUGAUUUCAAUACUUACCUAUAUGAGUGCGUGCAAUCGCUGAUGCAUCAUAUUUUGUUCAAUUGAUGUUGCAUCAUAUUUUGUUCAAUUGAUGUUGCAUCAUAUUUUGUUCAAUUGAUGUUGUAAUGGACUUUUGUGUGUACUAUGAUGGUUGUUCAAUCUGUGUUAUUCCUAUAA
This is a long non-coding RNA of Lolium perenne, 5494 nucleotides long. RefSeq lists it as uncharacterized. NCBI's taxonomy places the organism in Eukaryota, Viridiplantae, Streptophyta, Magnoliopsida, Poales, Poaceae. The record is from RefSeq and is a predicted model, not a curated record.